AUUGGUCAUUACCUGCACCUGAUGAGCUCCAGAAAGAGCAAAACUGCUUAGGUCCUGUAAUACUGACCUGUAAGUGU
RNAcentral lists this non-coding RNA (77 nucleotides) under Phalacrocorax carbo (great cormorant). Lineage: Eukaryota; Metazoa; Chordata; Aves; Suliformes; Phalacrocoracidae. The record is from RNAcentral.